RNAcentral lists this long non-coding RNA (763 nucleotides) under Brassica napus (rape). Its description in RNAcentral is "long non-coding RNA (BNAP_LNC020991)". The record is from RNAcentral. Lineage: Eukaryota; Viridiplantae; Streptophyta; Magnoliopsida; Brassicales; Brassicaceae.
AAAACCUGUUGGAUUGGUCUGGAUUUUUUAGAUCCAAAAUUUAAAAUCAGUCAUUUUAUAAUUUCUCCCCUAUAAAAAUCAGUGGUGUCACUUCUGAAUAGAACAAGAAACAAUAGCUAUAUCGUUUAUUUUGCUAUUGUAUAAUUAAAUAGUAAACUCGUCCGCUUGACCACAUAAUUGGACCAAAUUAAUAUCUAAAAAUAAAAAUCAAAUUAAAAUCGCCUUUUUAUCAGGAUAGGAUCGAUCAGGUUAGUCUAAUCCGAAGGUUUUGGAAAGGAAAUGCUAUUUAAAAUGGUGAAAUUUAGUCAUGAAGGGUUUUUAAACAAGAAAAGAUAAAAGAAAAGAAAGAACGAAAGAAUGAGAAGAGAAAAUGACAAGUGGGAGAGGCCCGAGAAGAAGAAGACGUUUGCUGUCUGUCCCUUAAACCUGUCGAGAGGUCUCUUGAGCCCAGUGUUGUCUUCUCCUCUGCGUUGACUCUCUCUCAGUUUAUUUAAAAUCUUCAUUUUUUUUUUGCUUAAACUUUCAUAUUUUCUUAUUUUGUAGUAGUUUAUUUUUUUUAUGUUUUAUAAAUAAAUAACAAACAGUGUUUCAAAAAGGAAGAAGAUAUAAUCGCUUGUGGGAGAGUGAGCAGUGGCGGAGCUACAAAAUUUUUUUCACCGGGGUCAUAAUAUACAAAUUAGAUAUAUGUAUAUUAUUAUCAUAACAAAAAAAAAAAAUUUCAACAGAUUAAUGGGGGCAAAUGAAAAUUUAUACAUAAAUUAGU